AUUGAACGCUGGCGGCAUGCUUUACACAUGCAAGUCGAACGGUAGAGGGGCAACCCUUGAGAGUGGCGAACGGGUGAGUAAUGCAUCGGAACGUGCCCAGUAGUGGGGGAUAGCCCGGCGAAAGCCGGAUUAAUACCGCAUGAGACCUGAGGGUGAAAGCGGGGGAUCGCAAGACCUCGCGCUAUUGGAGCGGCCGAUGUCAGAUUAGCUAGUUGGUGGGGUAAAGUCCUCCCAAGGCGACGAUCUGUAGCUGGUCUGAGAGGACGACCAGCCACACUGGGACUGAGACACGGCCCAGACUCCUACGGGAGGCAGCAGUGGGGAAUUUUGGACAAUGGGCGCAAGCCUGAUCCAGCCAUGCCGCGUGCGGGAAGAAGGCCUUCGGGUUGUAAACCGCUUUUGUCAGGGAGGAAAUCUUCUGGGCUAAUACCCUGGGAGGAUGACGGUACCUGAAGAAUAAGCACCGGCUAACUACGUGCCAGCCGCCGCGGUAA
This 494-nucleotide ribosomal RNA is filed under the name uncultured bacterium. Its description in RNAcentral is "partial 16S ribosomal RNA". It matches the Rfam family "Bacterial small subunit ribosomal RNA", at positions 29 to 523 of the family's 1533-position model. The record is from RNAcentral.